GCUUAACGCGAAGAACCUUACCAAGGCUUGACAUAUACCUGAAAAGGCUGGAAACAGUCUCCCGCAAGGCAGGUAUACAGGUGGUGCAUGGUUGUCGUCAGCUCGUGUCGUGAGAUGUUGGGUUAAGUCCGCAACGAGCGCAACCCUCGUUCUAUGUUGCCAGCACGUAAUGGUGGGAACUCAUAGGAGACUGCCGGGGUCGAACUCGGAGGAAGGUGGGGAGUGACGUCAAAUCAUCAUGCCCCUUAUGUCUUGGGCUUCACGCAUGCUACAAUGGCCGGUACAAAGGGCUGCAAUACCGCAAGGUGGAGCGAAUCCCAAAAAGCCGGUCUCAGUUCGGAUUGAGGUCUGCAACUCGACCUCAUGAAGUCGGAGUCGCUAGUAAUCGCAGAUCAGCAACGCUGCGGUGAAUACGUUCCCGGGUCUUGUACACACCG
This 437-nucleotide ribosomal RNA is filed under the name uncultured bacterium. Its description in RNAcentral is "bacterial SSU rRNA". It matches the Rfam family "Bacterial small subunit ribosomal RNA", at positions 954 to 1392 of the family's 1533-position model. The record is from RNAcentral.